GUGGCCUAACCCCUUGUGGGAGGGAGCUGUCGAAGGUGGGACUGGCGAUUGGGACUAAGUCGUAACAAGGUAGCCGUACCGGAAGGUGCGGCUGGAUCACCUCCUUUCUAAGGAG
RNAcentral lists this ribosomal RNA (115 nucleotides) under Arthrobacter sp. RT-1. RNAcentral describes it as "partial 16S ribosomal RNA". It matches the Rfam family "Bacterial small subunit ribosomal RNA", at positions 1430 to 1533 of the family's 1533-position model. The record is from RNAcentral. Lineage: Bacteria; Bacillati; Actinomycetota; Actinomycetes; Micrococcales; Micrococcaceae.